Molecule: unclassified non-coding RNA, 300 nt
Filed under: Glomus sp.
Lineage: Eukaryota; Fungi; Glomeromycota; Glomeromycetes; Glomerales; Glomeraceae
Description: partial contains 5.8S ribosomal RNA and internal transcribed spacer 2
Rfam family: 5.8S ribosomal RNA (bases 1-65)
Source: RNAcentral
GUGAAUCAUCAAAUUUUUGAACGCAAAUUGCACUCUCUUCGGAGCGUAUGCCUGUUUGAGUUUCAGCCUAAAAACAAUCCACAUAGUUGCCUGUUUCGCGGUGACAUUCGUCGGCCAUUGGGUCCUCUUCAACCUUUGGGUUUUACGCGGCUUCAAAUUUUCUUUACGACUCCACGAACGUUUCUAAGAUUUCCUUCUUAUACGUUUAAGGUCUCGCUCUUUAUUAUACGUGUCCGUUGCAUCGGAUCUCGUCCAUCAAUUUUUCGUUAACUGACCUCAGACAGCUAAGUACACCCGCUG